GCCGAGCCAGAUGCGGCGCGCCUUCCGGGGCUCCCGGAUCUCCGAGACCCACUUCCCGCACCGGCUCCGGAUGCCGCGGUAGAAUGGGUGCUUCCCCGACGACCCGCCAUGCUCAGACAUUGCUCCGAUCAGUUAGGUUAACGAUCUCGAGGAGUGUGCAGGCUAGUAGAGGAGUGUGGGACUGUGGGGAGUGGAGUGGCCGCGUGCAUGCAGUUCGCUGAUUAAAUCCACGCGGAGGAGCUCGGGUAUAUAAGGGGCCGCCAGGCGGGAGAAGCGGGCGGGGAAGCGGUGUGAGGGACGCCAUGGCGCUCGCUCUCGAUGAGCUGGUGCCCCGGAAGCGAACAACUAAGCUUAGGUAAAUUAAAUCGCAGUCACUCACGGCCACCUGCAGUGUUCUUUUCGGGCGUGUGUGGGGAGGAAGAUUGAAGAAUCACGUCGCUUUCGGGCUUUCUAAUCAUGGGAAGGGCUGUAGCUUUUGCGCGUUUUUCAGUUCUUUUGGGCGUAACUAGUUGCCUUUUCAUUUUCCUUCUGUUUUAUUCAGAUUGAGGGGAGCUUUUCUUGUACGGUAAUGUUCUUUUUACACUACGGCAAUGCUGCUUCUCUAUGGAGAUGCGCCCAGCCGUUCGAUCCAUUUCUUGUUCUCAUUGAGAUGAGCGCAGUGACUCAAUAGACAAGGAUGAUUAGUACUCCUACAUUGGUGCACACUUGUUACACAGUGGACACUGGACAGCAAUAUAGGUGUUGACCUAGCUUGCAAAUGAACAGGUGCUAUUGUAACUUCCUCGACGAACAAAACUGUAAAUAUCAUGUACCAAAUUUGUCACA
Brachypodium distachyon (stiff brome) is the source of this 825-nucleotide long non-coding RNA. RefSeq lists it as uncharacterized. The record is from RefSeq and is a predicted model, not a curated record. Lineage: Eukaryota; Viridiplantae; Streptophyta; Magnoliopsida; Poales; Poaceae. The transcript has 2 exons.